GAUGAACGCUGGCGGCGUGCCUAAUACAUGCAAGUCGAGCGAACAGACGAGGAGCUUGCUCCUCUGACGUUAGCGGCGGACGGGUGAGUAACACGUGGAUAACCUACCUAUAAGACUGGGAUAACUUCGGGAAACCGGAGCUAAUACCGGAUAAUAUAUUGAACCGCAUGGUUCAAUAGUGAAAGACGGUUUUGCUGUCACUUAUAGAUGGAUCCGCGCCGCAUUAGCUAGUUGGUAAGGUAACGGCUUACCAAGGCAACGAUGCGUAGCCGACCUGAGAGGGUGAUCGGCCACACUGGAACUGAGACACGGUCCAGACUCCUACGGGAGGCAGCAGUAGGGAAUCUUCCGCAAUGGGCGAAAGCUUGACGGAGCAACGCCGCGUGAGUGAUGAAGGUCUUCGGAUCGUAAAACUCUGUUAUUAGGGAAGAACAAAUGCGUAAGUAACUAUGCACGUCUUGACGGUACCUAAUCAGAAAGCCACGGCUAACUACGUG
RNAcentral lists this ribosomal RNA (497 nucleotides) under uncultured bacterium. RNAcentral describes it as "partial 16S ribosomal RNA". It matches the Rfam family "Bacterial small subunit ribosomal RNA", at positions 28 to 507 of the family's 1533-position model. The record is from RNAcentral.